This is a long non-coding RNA of Lepus europaeus (European hare), 1128 nucleotides long. RefSeq lists it as uncharacterized. The transcript has 4 exons. NCBI's taxonomy places the organism in Eukaryota, Metazoa, Chordata, Mammalia, Lagomorpha, Leporidae. The record is from RefSeq and is a predicted model, not a curated record.
GCACCUGGCUCCUGCCUUCGGAUCAGCGAGAUGCACCAGCCACAGCGGCCAUUGGAUGGUGAACCAGCGGCAAAAAGGAAGACCCUUCUCUCUGUCUCUCUCUCUUGCUAUCCACUCUGCCUGUCAAAAAUAAAUAAAUAAAUAAAUGGAAAUCUUUUUUUUUCUUUUUUUGAGAUUAUUUAUUUGAAAGGCAGAGUUACACACAGAGAAGGAGAGGCAGAGAGAGAGAGAGAGAGAAAGAGGUCUUCCAUCUGCUGGUUCACUCCCCAGUUGGCUGCAAUGGCUGAAGCUGUGCCAGUUUGGAGUCAGGAGAUUCUUCCAGGUCUCUCAAAUGGGUGCAGGGCCCAAGGACUUGGGCCAUCCUCUACUGCUUUCCCAGGCCAUAGCAGAGAGCUAGAUUGAAAGUGGAGCAUCCAGGACUCGAACCUGUGCCCAUAUGGGAUGCUGGCAAUGCAGGCAGCAGCUUGACCCACUACACCACAGCGCCAGCCCCCAAAUACAAAUCUUUAUUAUACAAGGGCCUUGUAUGGAAAAUGGGCAAAGAGUAUACACUAAAAAUUCACAGAAAUACAAAUAAAUAUAAAUGCAAAGUCAAGCUCAAACCAGCAAUCUGAAAAAUGCAAAAGUGAUUUUUAAAACAGAAAAGUAAAAGUUUCUGUUUAGCUUUGCAGAUGUGCUGUUGCCAGUGUCUGGCGUUGGUGAGGCUGAUGGGAAAUGAAGUUGGAGCAGUGUUAGAGUUCCACUUCCGGGUGUCUGACCCAGAGAGUGAAGAGGCUUGGAACAAGGGCAGUAAUGCAGCAGAGUUUGAAAUCUCUCAAGAGAACCAGUUAAAUAAAUUGAAUGUGCGGGCUCAGAUACCUGGCAGGCGUCAAAAGGAAGAUGUGUGAACGUAGAAAACAUAUUUCCUCCAGGAAGGACCACCACCAGUGGCUCGUGGGGAUGAAGGUUUGAGGCCACCGCACCUAGAACACGUCCCUGAUCCUGAGAAGCAGUGUGGAGACAGGAAUGUGGAGUCACGGCUGAACAUCCUCCCUUGCGAUGGGGAAAGCAGUACCCCACUGUGGCUCUGGUAUCUGCCUUUGAUCACGCCGAUCUCCACCCUCAGCUGCUCCCUCUGUUCCUGUGUCA